CCUACGGGAGGCAGCAGUGGGGAAUAUUGGACAAUGGGCGAAAGCCUGAUCCAGCCAUGCCGCGUGUGUGAAGAAGGCCAUCGGGUUGUAAAGCACUUUCAGUGGGGAAGAAAGCCUUGGGGCUAAUACCCUCGAGGAAGGACAUCACCCACAGAAGAAGCACCGGCUAACUCCGUGCCAGCAGCCGCGGUAAUACGGAGGGUGCGAGCGUUAAUCGGAAUUACUGGGCGUAAAGCGCGCGUAGGCGGUCUGAUAAGCCGGUUGUGAAAGCCCCGGGCUCAACCUGGGAACGGCAUCCGGAACUGUCAGGCUAGAGUGCAGGAGAGGAAGGUAGAAUUCCCGGUGUAGCGGUGAAAUGCGUAGAGAUCGGGAGGAAUACCAGUGGCGAAGGCGGCCUUCUGGACUGACACUGACGCUGAGGUGCGAAAGCGUGGGUAGCAAACAGGAUUAGAUACCCGGGUAGUC
This 465-nucleotide ribosomal RNA is filed under the name Vreelandella stevensii. RNAcentral's name for it is "partial 16S ribosomal RNA". It matches the Rfam family "Bacterial small subunit ribosomal RNA", at positions 338 to 795 of the family's 1533-position model. Lineage: Bacteria; Pseudomonadati; Pseudomonadota; Gammaproteobacteria; Oceanospirillales; Halomonadaceae. The record is from RNAcentral.